UUGUUCCUAAUACCAGAUUGAUUACCUUGUUUUAAUAAUAGCAGUCAGCUAAUUUUAAAUCCAUUUACAUGUAAUGCCUCCUUGCUGUUCUCUC
Sinocyclocheilus rhinocerous is the source of this 94-nucleotide long non-coding RNA. RefSeq lists it as uncharacterized. The record is from RefSeq and is a predicted model, not a curated record. The transcript is spliced from 3 exons. NCBI's taxonomy places the organism in Eukaryota, Metazoa, Chordata, Actinopteri, Cypriniformes, Cyprinidae.